CCUACGGGAGGCAGCAGUGAGGAAUAUUGGUCAAUGGACUCACGUCUGAACCAGCCAUGCCGCGUGCAGGAAGACGGCUCUAUGAGUUGUAAACUGCUUUUGUACGAGGGUAAACGCAGAUACGCGUAUCUGUCUGAAAGUAUCGUACGAAUAAGGAUCGGCUAACUCCGUGCCAGCAACCGCGGUAAUACGGAGGAUUCAAGCGUUAUCCGGAUUUCUUGGGUUGAAAGGGUGCGUAGGCGGUCGGAUAAGUUAGAGGUGAAAUCCCGAGGCUCACCUUCGGAAUUGCAUCUGAUACUGUGCGGAGAGAGAGUAGUUGCGGUAGGCGGAAUGUAUGGUGUAGCGGUGAAAUGCUUAGAGAUCAUACAGAACACCGAUUGCGAAGGCAGCUUACCAAGCUACUUCUGACGUUGAGGCACGAAAGCGUGGGGAGCAAACAGGAUUAGAUACCCCAGUAGUC
This 460-nucleotide ribosomal RNA is filed under the name uncultured bacterium. RNAcentral's name for it is "partial 16S ribosomal RNA". It matches the Rfam family "Bacterial small subunit ribosomal RNA", at positions 338 to 795 of the family's 1533-position model. The record is from RNAcentral.